Dendroctonus ponderosae (mountain pine beetle) is the source of this 1834-nucleotide RNA transcript. It is a transcript of the gene named bifunctional coenzyme A synthase, with no coding region annotated. The transcript is spliced from 9 exons. Lineage: Eukaryota; Metazoa; Arthropoda; Insecta; Coleoptera; Curculionidae. The record is from RefSeq and is a predicted model, not a curated record.
GGGUAACGGAGUGUCAUCGCUUCGCGAAAAUGACAGCAAGUGCGACACAUAACCCUAAGUUUGCUUAUCAACAAACAAUUACAUUGCAUUUAUGUAGGUCGUCUGAAGACGUGUUUCUGCACAAUGUUGGCCAAGACCGGACUUUUAAUAGUGUCCAACCCGAAGCACAUAAAUAAGUUGCUUAGUAACGUGAAGGAAACGGUAAAACACACCCUUUACAUCCAGCUGCUCACGGCCCUAAAUGAGCCUCUAGGAAGCUUCUAUUCUCAUAUGUUUAACACACCUCCAAAGCUCAGCAGAACGAUAUUCGGCAUUUAUUCACAGGCAACACGUCAUUGUAACAAUUUAGAUGUUCGUGUGCUGCUCACAGGGGUGAAAAGCAAUGUGCCCCAAAUAGGCACUCGCAACCCCAUAGACGUGGUUAUAUUUGAUAGGAAAUACUCAAAAGCCGAUAUUGAUAACUUCAUGAAAUGUAAACUAACGAACGUUUCAAAGCAACAUCGCGUUUUAACUGUGGAUUGUGAAAAUGUUGAGGACCCCGAAGUUCAGGAUGAUUCAGCAGAUGACCAGGUUUAUAAACAUGCUUGUCUUGGAGGUACAUUUGACCGACUGCAUGCAGCACACAAGGUGCUUUUAAGUUAUGCAAUUCUUCACGCCUCUGAAAAGGUGACAGUUGGAAUAACUGAAGAAAAUAUGGUUCACAGUAAGUUGCUGUGGGAAUUAAUCCAGGACGUGGACACCCGAAUAGCUAACGUGGAACAAUUCGUUAUGGAUGUAUGCCCGGAAAUUUCAUAUAACAUUUGCAAAAUAUCCGACCCCUUUGGUCCAGCAGUAGUUGACCCUACGAUGGAUGUAAUCGUCGUUAGCGUAGAAACUGUGAGAGGUGGAGAGAAAAUUAAUGAAAUAAGAAAACAGAAGAGCCUAGCUGAGCUAGUGAUCGUCCCAAUUCCUUUUAUCGACGAACCUGACCCGCAAGCUCGCGAGGAAACUAAAGUGAGCUCGAGUAAUCAAAGAUUGAGACUGUUGGGCACCUUGCUAAACCCUUUGGAAAAAAAGAACAUUCCAAACAAACCGUAUGUGAUUGGUUUAACAGGUGGCAUAGCUAGUGGCAAAUCAGGCGUUACGAGCCACUUGAAGAACAUGGGAGUUCCCAUAAUAGAUUGCGAUAAAAUCGGACAUCAAGUUUACCAAAAGAACGCUGCAUGUUACCAGGAAGUUAUCAGUCAGUUUGGAAAGGAAAUUCUCAAUAGUGACGGGGAGAUUGAUAGAAGAGUUUUGGGAAAUUUGGUGUUUGAAAAACCCGCCGAAUUGACUAAAUUAACUGACAUUGUAUGGCCUGCCAUUAAAGAUGAGGUGCAAAGAAUCAUUCGAAAAUCAGAGGCACGGGUGGUGUGUGUCGAAGCAGCGAUUUUGACCAAGGCUGGCUGGGACGCCUUUUGCCAUGAGGUUUGGACUACAUUUGUUCCCGAAAAGGAAGCAAUUGAAAGACUGAAAACCAGAAACAAUUUAACUGAAGAACAAGCGAAAAGCCGCAUGGCUGCGCAACCGUCCAAUAAGGAAAACAUUCAACAAGCCAAUGUCGUGUUCUGCCCUUUGUGGGAAGUCGAGUAUACGAAGAUGCAAGUGGAAAAGGCCUGGGACCUUCUGCAGAUACGAUUAUCUGGCCUGUAAUCAUAUCUAGUCAACGGGUGUUAGAACGGGGAAUUUUAUACAGUUUACUUAGCGUGUAGAUACGAGAUUUAAUGUUUAUAAUUGCCUUAUCCAAGAUGAAUUCAAAGACUAGUUAUUUUCUACUAAGAUAUGUAUUACAUAAACCAAUACGAUUAACAGCGAC